This 83-nucleotide unclassified non-coding RNA is filed under the name Flavobacterium fontis. Its description in RNAcentral is "Flavo-1 RNA". Lineage: Bacteria; Pseudomonadati; Bacteroidota; Flavobacteriia; Flavobacteriales; Flavobacteriaceae. The record is from RNAcentral.
CUGGUAGGAGCGGCAUCCUCCCGACGCAAGGUGGGAGACCUCCCUUCACCGGAAGGCAAGUACAGCGGAUAGCAGGAAAAAGC